AUCUUUGGUGCCCUGCCGGGUAGGGGAUUGUAUAGAGGGCCCAUCCCACCCCUGCAUUCGGUUCCCCAAAGGCCCCAGGGGUUAGUGAAUGGGCAAAAAAAGGAGGUCCCAGGAAAAAGUGGUUUGGGCUUAAGUUACAAUUAUGUUAUAUGUGACGUUUUAAGUUUAGUCACUCUUGCUGACAGCUUAAUGUACUCAGGUUGAUGUAAGGUUUCAACAGUUUACUUGUUUAAAAAACACGAGGUGAUAGGUCGUACAGAGGCACCUUAAAAUACCAGGAAGAAUAUCGACUUAAUCUGGAAACAGGUCGCCAUGAGUACGCCUACGCUAGUUUUUUCGAUCGAUGCCGAAAAGACCUUCGAUAGGGUCCGGUGGCUGUACCUGUUCACAUUGCUGACUCAUUUAGGUUUCCCUGAGGAAUACGUAGUGAUAAUUAAAGUGUGCUCUCAUUAGAACCCUUCCUGCAGGUGAUUCGGAGACACCCACAUAUACAGGGAGUUAGAGUAGGAAGCAGAGAAUUUAAGGUAUUGGCAUAUACGGGGCCGUGUCGGGAUAUAAGGCAAAUAUCACCAAAUCCUGGCGGUUUACCUGUGGGGGUUACGGCAGCGGACACGGCAUGGCUGUGUGACACUUACCACAUACGAAUAGAAAAAACACUCUGAAAUAUCUGGGGAUUAAUUUAUCGGCAGACCCAGGAAAACUACAUACUGUUAAUUACACACCGUUACUACAAACUUUGAUUAACGACCUAGAAAAAUGGACACAAACCCAUAUAAUGGAUAGGGCGGAUUCACUCCAUCAAAAUGAAUAUCCUACAGCGCAUCCUAUUCCUGUUUCAGGCACUACCCACACUCAUUACCAAAACCCACCUUGUGCCCUUACAAUGCGCAAUAGGGGCCUUUAUCUAGCAAAACAAAAGACACAGAAUAUCAAGACAGGUACUGUACUGACUAAAAACUAGGCGUGGACUGGGUCUCUCGAACCUGUUCUUUUAUUACUUAGCGGCACAAUUGACUCAGGUGGCAAUGUGGCACUCUCCUCCAGAGGAUAGGAAAUGGGUGGAAACUGAGUUUCUUAUGGUGGGUGCAGACAUACCUCAAUUUACGAUGUGGGUCCCCAAGGAGCACAGACCUAUGAAUAGAGCGACCUGCCCGGCAAUCCUCAACUCCCUGAAGAUAUGGGACUCGACCAACAUAAAGUAUGGCCUGGCAACUUCACGUUCUCCCCUAAUGCCACUCCUUUGCAACAGAGCAUUCCCGCUGGGCUUAACCACAAGGGACAUCCAAAAUCUAGAAAAAGUGGGCUUCUAGAGGAUUUGCCAUUUCUGUCAGGGCCAGGAGUUGGUUACGUUCGAUGACAUUUAGCAGAAUAGCUUCUUAACACCUUCAGAUUUCUUUAGAUACAUGCAGCUUAGCGAUUUUGCUAAACAACCACAUAUUAAGGCAGCGGCCUGUAGGGCACGUACUUUCUUUGAGUGCUUAUGUGAAGCAGAAAUCAUGCCCAAAGGAUUGAUAACACAGAUAUACGCCCACACCUGCUUUGAAAACACGGAAUGGGAUGAUUAAAUUACACUGAUCAAUGGGAAAGGGACCUAGGCGAGGUGUUAUAAGGCAUACAAUGGCAGGAGAUUUGGGAAUCAAACGAAAAUACAUCCCUGUGCGUGACCCUCCACUAACAAACCUGGAAAACCAUUGUGACGAGACCAAUCUCGCCACAUUGCAUUGGAGAAGCCUGGUUGCCCGCCUGCUGCCCCUGGACUAUGGCCCCCUUUUAAAAGACAUCUUUUUUUACCUGCAGAAAAGCUUCAUUCGUGCUUUUCUGCCUGGGGUUCGGUAGAUU
This is a non-coding RNA of Pelobates cultripes (western spadefoot toad), 1839 nucleotides long. Lineage: Eukaryota; Metazoa; Chordata; Amphibia; Anura; Pelobatidae. The record is from the annotation of a GenBank genome assembly.